GUACUCUUUAGCUGGUGCACAGAUGGGAAUUUUUCCAGAUUUGAAACCUUCCAUAUCCAAAUUUGAACAUGUUAUAGUUAGUAUUGGAAUAUCGCGUUCUUUCCCCAAAUAUACAAGGUUGUGGUACCAGCCUUUCCCAGUUGGAACCUCAAUAGAAUUGGAAGGGUUGUCUGUGACUUUGUUCAGAUUAGCUAUAUCCAAUAAAGGGUUGUCAGAAAGGAAACCACUGCCCCUAUUU
This 238-nucleotide unclassified non-coding RNA is filed under the name Hevea brasiliensis (rubber tree). The record is from RNAcentral. Lineage: Eukaryota; Viridiplantae; Streptophyta; Magnoliopsida; Malpighiales; Euphorbiaceae.